CGGGUGAGUAAUGCUUCGGAAUCUGCCCUUUAGUGGGGAAUAACCAGUCGAAAGACUGGCUAAUACCGCAUACGACCUACGGGUGAAAGCAGGGGAUCGCAAGACCUUGCGCUAAUGGAUGAGCCCAAGUCGGAUUAGCUAGUUGGUAGGGUAAAGGCCUACCAAGGCGACGAUCCGUAGCUGGUCUGAGAGGAUGAUCAGCCACACUGGGACUGAGACACGGCCCAGACUCC
This 233-nucleotide ribosomal RNA is filed under the name uncultured bacterium. RNAcentral describes it as "partial 16S ribosomal RNA". It matches the Rfam family "Bacterial small subunit ribosomal RNA", at positions 103 to 339 of the family's 1533-position model. The record is from RNAcentral.